AACGAACGCUGGUGGCGUGGAUAAGACAUGCAAGUCGAACGGGACUAAAUCUGUAGCAAUACAGGUUUAGUUUAGUGGCGAACGGGUGCGUAACACGUGGGCAAUCUGCCGAGAAGUGGGGAAUAGCUCGCCGAAAGGCGAAUUAAUACCGCAUAUGAUCAGUGAAGACAUCUUCACGACAUCAAAGCCGGGGCAACCUGGCGCUUCUUGAUGAGCCCGCGGCCUAUCAGCUAGUUGGUGAGGUAACGGCUCACCAAGGCUAUGACGGGUAGGCUGGUCUGAGAGGAUGAUCAGCCACACU
This 301-nucleotide ribosomal RNA is filed under the name uncultured bacterium. RNAcentral describes it as "bacterial SSU rRNA". It matches the Rfam family "Bacterial small subunit ribosomal RNA", at positions 29 to 314 of the family's 1533-position model. The record is from RNAcentral.